This 1434-nucleotide ribosomal RNA is filed under the name metagenome. Its description in RNAcentral is "bacterial SSU rRNA". It matches the Rfam family "Archaeal small subunit ribosomal RNA". The record is from RNAcentral.
ACCUGUUUAUCCUGCAGGAGGUUGCUGCUAUCAGAAUCCGACUAAGACAUGCAAGUGAUUGCCGCAAGGCAACGCAGAAGGCUCAGUAACACGUCGAUAACGUGCCGUGAAGUAAGGAAUAAUCUCGGGAAACUGAGGAUAAUACCUUAUAGGGAAUAGCGUGUGGAAUUCUGCUAUUCCAAAAAGCUUCGGCGCUUCACGAUCGGUCGGCGACCCAUCAGGUUGUUGGUGAGGUAAUGGCUCACCAAGCCGAAGACGGGUAGGGGCCAUGAGAGUGGGAGCCCCGAGAAGGACACUGCGAUACGGGUCCUAGCCCUAAGGGGUGCAGCAGUUACGAAACCUUUACAAUGCACGAAAGUGUGAUAAGGGGAUUCUGAGUGCUUACGGAUUUCCGUAGGCUUUUUGCGAAGGUAAACACUUCGUAGAAUAAGUGGUGGGCAAGACCGGUGCCAGCCGCCGCGGUAACCCCAGCGCCACAAGUGGGAACCACUAUUAUUGGGUCUAAAGCAUCCGUAGCCGGCUCAGCAAAUGCCCUGUGAAAUCGUUCCGCUCAACGGGACGGCGAGCAGGGUAGACUACUGAACUUGGGACCAGGAGAGGGAGGCAGUAUUCUUGGGGGAGCGGUAAAAUGUUAUAAUCCCGAGAGGACUACCGAUGGCGAAGGCAGCCUCCUAGAAUGGAUCCGACGGUGAGGGAUGAAAGCUAGGGGAGCGAUCCGGAUUAGAUACCCGAGUAGUCCUAGCCGUAAACGCUGCAUGCCAGAUGUUGCACAAUCUCCGAGAUUGUGCAGUGUCGAAACGAAGGUGUUAAGCAUGCCACCUGGGAAGUACGGUCGCAAGGCUGAAACUUAAAGGAAUUGGCGGGGGAGCACCACAAGGGGUGCGGCGUGCGGUUUUAUCGAAUUCAACGCCGAAAAUCUCACCAGGGGCGCCGGCAGUAUGAUGGUCAGUCUGAAGGGCUUACUAGACGAGCCGAGAGGUGGUGCAUGGCCGCCGUCAGCUCGUGUCGUGAGAUGUCCUGUUAAGUCAGGCAACGAGCGAGACCUGUGUCCACCGUUGCUAACGCGUCCGCAAGGACGAGCGAGCACACUGCGGAGACUGCCUUCGAAAGAAGGAGGAAGGCGCAGGCUACGGUAGGUCUGUACGCCCCGAAUCUCCUGGGCUACACGCGCGCAACAAUGGUUGUGACAAUAGGCUGCGACACCGUAAGGUGAAGCCAAUCCUCUAAACACAACCUUAGUAUGAAUUGAGGGCUGCAACUCGCCCUCAUGACAACGGAAUCCCUAGUAAUCAGAGGUUAGCAUCCUCCGGUGAAUAUGUCCCUGCUCCUUGCACACACCGCCCGUCAAGCCAACCGAGCAGGUUUCAGGUGAGCUUUGUUGAGUAAACAUCGCGAACCUGGGGUCAGUGAGGUGGGCUAAGUCGUCACAAGGUA